This is a long non-coding RNA of Peromyscus eremicus (cactus mouse), 2116 nucleotides long. RefSeq lists it as uncharacterized. The record is from RefSeq and is a predicted model, not a curated record. NCBI's taxonomy places the organism in Eukaryota, Metazoa, Chordata, Mammalia, Rodentia, Cricetidae. The transcript is spliced from 3 exons.
CUUCCUUCUAUGAUUUUCCUAGAGUUUGGUGUGCGGUUGAUACAUUCAUUGAGUUACCUUUGUUCUGAUUGGGCCUUUCAACAUUUCCACUACAUUUAAUGUUUUUUCUUGUUCUUACAGAGAUUCUACCAGAAGCACAUCAGCCCUACAGAUAAUGAGAAGCCUAACUGGAAGACAGCUUCUCUUACUAUACUACCAUCCAGCUUCACAAUGGUGCCAAUACAGCCAGGGCAUUCAUAGUCAUCCUAGGAAGACAUGACUUUGGAGUCAUCCAGGGAGCAAAGUCUUCUGCAGGGCUCAUGAUGUCUUUGGCUUGAUUUGCUAAGGGUCCACCCAGGAAUCCUGACUCACUGCAGAUGGGUGGAGAUCUUCUGAGCUAAAGGAAACCUUUCCUCAGAGACCAUCAUUCCUGCAGUUACUGAUCAAGAUUGCAGUUGUGCUACAUUAGCUAAGUGCAGAAGCAUGGAGGCUCUAACAUCCAGCAUUUUCACAAGGGUACUUGUGCUCAUGGACAGCUGUUUUUUAACUCCAGCUACUCUGAAUUCUUGUCCUUACUUUUAGAUCAAAUUCCCAAUCUGUAUAUUCUAAAAAGCUUAUUCUUAGAAAAGGUGCCGUGAAAUGAGGCUUUCACCAUGACUUUCAUUGUGAGACCUUCGAGCCUUUAGUGGAAUGAGGGGGAUGGGAGGAAGGAGGUGAUCUUGGACUUCUCAGAAUUGUGCCCUCCUCUCAGAUCACUUCCCAGUGGGUGUGCUUGCCAUAUCCUGAUGGAUUGACUCUCUUUCUAAUGGACUGCUUGUGUGCAGUUGUAUUCUUAAAUAUACUCUGCAUCAUCAAUCUUCAUAUAGCUUGGAAAACGGAGGCAAUUUUCAGUUUGGUAAACACCUGCUGUGUGCAUCACAUUCACAAAAUGGGUGGAUUGAUGGGAAAUGUAAGAUCCAUUAAAUCUUACUGUUUACCCUUCAAGGUAGAUAACCGUAGCCCUUCCAGGAUAACCAAGUAAAUCUCCCAAGUAAACAAAGAGAACCAGUGUCAGAUUUGGUACUGAAAUACAUCUCCUGUUUUUUCUGUCUUUUCUCACGACACUCACCAGCCUCAUGGACAUUUUCUUUUCCUAGAUUUAGCCAAAGAGCACUUCCUUUGUUGAUAAAUUUGACAUCAAAAUAGAAUCAGUGAGCUGUGAAUUCUGUUAUCCAUUUAUGAUAUAAACUUCAGAUGUCAGUUCUUGUUGCUAGAAAACAAACCCAAAGUACUGGAAAUAUAAUAAUGGAUAAUCUCAAAAGAAAGCCAGCAAUUAUUGCAUUGAAGAAAUGGCAAUGAAAUAAAAUAUGUCUUUUUUUUUUUUGGUAAGAAUAAAGAUAGCAAAAUCCCCAUUGUAUUCACAAGACUGUAAUUGAAAUAUUUUUAAAAGAACAUGUGGAAGGCAUAGUUCUCCCAAACCUCCCGAGAACAGUGAAUUGUUUGUACAAUGAUAAACAACCCACAAUGGACAUUUAUAAUAUUAAUUCCCUUCAUCUUUAAAGACUGGACCUAUUAUUGUUACAAUUCAUGUAUUUUGUCACAUAAACACCACAUACUUUUCAGAGGCAUAAGAUGAUUUAAAUCAAGGCAAGCAACAUCUGAAUAAAGGGGGAAAAUUAUAGGCACGUGUCUCAACCAUGAAUCACUUUGUUUAAAUUACUACUAGUUCAAUAUUGUCUUGUUUUUAAGCUGUUUUCCAACAGCCAAAUAACAAUACUUAGGAUGUAACUAAGUAUUCUUAAUUUGGAAAAAUUAAAUCUAGAGGAAUGAGAGUCAAAAUAUAAAAUUCUUAAAAACAUCAGAAUUUUCAGUGAUUUUCAACAUUAACAAACAAGCUUAGUACAGGGCUAACUGAAGACUGUAAUAUGAUCCCCAUCACCUGCAUAGGAAGUCGGGCUGGACAGCAGUUGCAAUCCUAGUCUUGGUAACAUGGGGAUAGAUGGAUAACUGGGGCUCAAUGGACAAGCUCCUAGUCCCAAGGAGAGACUCUGCUUCAGAAGUGAUGGUAGAUAGCUCCUAUGGAACCAUACCAGAGGCUGACCUCUGACCCCUAUACUACCCUUCCCAAUCUCUACAUGUGCAUGCACACCCUCAUUCA